Molecule: long non-coding RNA, 1012 nt
Organism: Manis pentadactyla (Chinese pangolin)
Lineage: Eukaryota; Metazoa; Chordata; Mammalia; Pholidota; Manidae
Exons: 3
Source: RefSeq, a predicted model, not a curated record
CUGUUCUUCCAACCUGCUGACCUCACACGUAUCGGGAUGUUGACACUCGGAAGCUCUCCUUUCCCGGCCCUCCCCUGGCUGGCCCCUUGCUGCUAUUUCAGCCUCAGCCCGCAUGUCCCCUCCCGAGGAGGCUUUCCCGGAGACCCUCCCACCGACCCGGGGUGGCUCCGGUUCCGCUCUUUCUCUCCCACGGCUGUUUUAUCUCCUUCAAAGUCCUCAUCGCCCUCACAAUUCACGAAACCAUCUACUGGCUCACCCGCUCAUCACCCGCGCGCUCCACCAAAGGAAGUGGGAGCUUUUCUGACUAUCCACAGCUCCGCACAGUACUGAGUUGAGCCCUCUCGAGGCGGAGGCCAAGGGUGUGACUGACUGGAAGUUACAUUGGUAAUCUACGGGGAACCACAGGUGGGGUGACCAUGAUUGAUUUUUAGCCUGUGACUAUAAGCAGAAACAUUGAGUGUGACUUCUGAGAAGUGGGGCACACUUUCCUUUGCCCCUCCUGUUCUCUGCUGGCUGGAAUGAGAACGUGAAGGCUGGAACCUGAGUGGCCCUUAUGGACCAUGAGAAGGAAAUGACAUGUAAACCACAAUAGGCAACAACAUGGAAAGAUCUUGGCACUUUGGAGUACAAUAUUGGCCCUGUACUAUUUACUUCCAGCCUUUUUAUACAUGAGAGAGAAAGAAAAAUACACUUUUAUAUUUUAAGUCUUCCUAUUUUCUAACAUGUACAGCUGGGCCUAAUCCUAACUGACAUAUUGGACAAAUACAAUUUUCUAAUCUAUAAAAUUUCAGUAAUUUUAUAAUAGUUCCUAUCUUAAAAAGUUAUAUUGAGGACUAAAUGAGACAAUACAUGUAAAAUGCUUGGUAUUACGUCUGGUCCCAUAGUAACCACUCAAUAAAAUAUAAGCUUCAUUUGUUUUUAUUUCCAUGAACUCAUUGAUGAUUUAGGAAAUAAAAUCAGCCCAAGGUCUUAGCUCCGAGACUGUUUUGUAAUAACAGGAAAAGAGACGAGG